Molecule: long non-coding RNA, 423 nt
Filed under: Eutrema salsugineum
Lineage: Eukaryota; Viridiplantae; Streptophyta; Magnoliopsida; Brassicales; Brassicaceae
Description: long non-coding RNA (ESAL_LNC000620)
Source: RNAcentral
ACGGAGGAAGAUUUAACGAGUGUUGGGUUGACUGAACAUCGGAGAGAUAAAUCGAAAUCGGAGAGCAUAAUGUGACCGUCGUCUCGUACCAGAACGUUCUCUGGCUUCAAAUCACGGUAUACUAUUCCGAGCAUGUGUAAGUAUUCUAAUGCUAAUAACACUUCCGAUGCAAAGAACCUGUUAACCAACAAAACCAAACAUUUAGUUCAUGUUAUGAAUCAAUACCAGAAAAGGAUCUUAAUUACUCUGUUUUUGCUCUGUUUCAAUAAACUCUGUUUAUAUACUAAACUAACCUUGCAGCAUCUUCUGUAAAACACUUGUUGGGUUGCUUCUGUCUCAAGGAAUAAAGAUUGCCUCCGCUACAAAACUCCAUAACCAAGCAAUAGAACUUAUCAGUCUCGAAGUGAGAGUAAAGAGUAGGCA